UAGGUAAUCUUCCGCAAUGGGCGAAAGCCUGACGGAGCAACGCCGCGUGAAUGAUGAAGGUCUUCGGAUCGUAAAACUCUGUUAUUAGGGAAGAACAAAUGUGUAAGUAACUAUGCACGUCUUGACGGUACCUAAUCAGAAAGCCACGGCUAACUACGUGCCAGCAGCCGCGGUAAUACGUAGGUGGCAAGCGUUAUCCGGAAUUAUUGGGCGUAAAGCGCGCGUAGGCGGUUUUUUAAGUCUGAUGUGAAAGCCCACGGCUCAACAGUGGAGGGUCAGUGGAAACUGGAAAACUUGAGUGCAGAAGAGGAAAGUGGUAUUCCAUGUGUAGCGGUGAAAUGCGCAGAGAUAUGGAGGAACACCAGUGGCGAAGGCGACUUUCUGGUCUGUAACUGACGCUGAUGUGCGAAAGCGUGGGGAUCAAACAGG
Molecule: ribosomal RNA, 429 nt
Filed under: Actinomycetes bacterium
Lineage: Bacteria; Bacillati; Actinomycetota; Actinomycetes
Description: Actinobacteria bacterium partial 16S ribosomal RNA
Rfam family: Bacterial small subunit ribosomal RNA
Source: RNAcentral